Molecule: ribosomal RNA, 1483 nt
Filed under: metagenome
Description: bacterial SSU rRNA
Rfam family: Bacterial small subunit ribosomal RNA
Source: RNAcentral
AGAGUUUGAUCCUGGCUCAGGAUGAACGCUAGCGGCAGGCCUAACACAUGCAAGUCGAGGGGCAGCACGGGUAGCAAUACUUGGUGGCGACCGGCGCACGGGUGAGUAACGCGUAUGCAACCUACCUUUUACCGGGGGAUAGCUCGUCGAAAGGCGAAUUAAUACCCCAUAACACAGGGAUACCGCAUGGUAAUAUUUGUUAAAACUCCGGUGGUAAAAGAUGGGCAUGCGUGACAUUAGCUAGUUGGUAGGGUAACGGCCUACCAAGGCGACGAUGUCUAAGGGGUCUGAGAGGAUGAUCCCUCACACUGGUACUGAGACACGGACCAGACUCCUACGGGAGGCAGCACUGAGGAAUAUUGGUCAAUGGGGGCAACCCUGAACCAGCCAUGCCGCGUGAAGGAAGACGGCCCUAAGGGUUGUAAACUUCUUUUGUACGGGGGUAAACUCUUCUACGUGUAGGAGAUUGAAAGUACUGUACGAAUAAGCAUCGGCUAACUCCGUGCCAGCAGCCGCGGUAAUACGGAGGAUGCAAGCGUUAUCCGGAUUUAUUGGGUUUAAAGGGUGCGUAGGCGGACCUAUAAGUCAGCGGUGAAAGACUGUCGCUCAACGAUAGCAUUGCCGUUGAUACUGUAGAUCUUGAGUACAUUUGAGGUGGGCGGAAUGUGUAGUGUAGCGGUGAAAUGCUUAGAUAUUACACAGAACACCAAUUGCGAAGGCAGCUCACUAAACUGUAACUGACGCUGAGGCACGAAAGCGUGGGGAUCAAACAGGAUUAGAUACCCUGGUAGUCCACGCCGUAAACUAUGAUCACUGGAUGUUAGCGAUACACAGCUAGCGUCUGAGUAAAAGCAUUAAGUGAUCCACCUGGGGAGUACGUCGGCAACGAUGAAACUCAAAGGAAUUGACGGGGGCCCGCACAAGCGGAGGAACAUGUGGUUUAAUUCGAUGAUACGCGAGGAACCUUACCUGGGCUCGAACGCAGAGGGAAUAUAGGUGAAAGCUUAUAGCCAGCAAUGGCCGUCUGCGAGGUGCUGCAUGGUUGUCGUCAGCUCGUGCCGUGAGGUGUCGGCUUAAGUGCCAUAACGAGCGCAACCCUUAUCAUUAGUUGCCAGCGGGUUAAGCCGGGGACUCUAAUGAAACUGCCAGCGUAAGCUGUGAGGAAGGCGGGGAUGACGUCAAAUCAGCACGGCCCUUACGUCCAGGGCUACACACGUGUUACAAUGGAUGGUACAGAGGGCAGCUACUUCGCGAGAAGAUGCUAAUCUCCAAAGCCAUUCUCAGUUCGGAUCGGAGUCUGCAACUCGACUCCGUGAAGCUGGAUUCGCUAGUAAUCGCAUAUCAGCCACGAUGCGGUGAAUACGUUCCCGGGCCUUGUACACACCGCCCGUCAAGCCAUGGGAGCUGGGGGUACCUGAAGUAUGCAACCGCAAGGAGCGUCCUAGGGUAAAACUGGUGACUGGGGCUAAGUCGUAACAAGGUA